AGCCAGCACCUCAAGUGGUCAGGAUGAUUAUUGGGCCUAAAGCAUCCGUAGCCUGUUCUGUAAGUUUUCGGUUAAAUCUAUGCGCUCAACGUAUAGGCUGCCGAAAAUACUGCAGAACUAGGGAGUGGGAGAGGUAGACGGUACUCGGUAGGAAGGGGUAAAAUCCUUUGAUCUAUUGAUGACCACCUGUGGCGAAGGCGGUCUACCAGAACACGUUCGACGGUGAGGGAUGAAAGCUGGGGGAGCAAACCGG
RNAcentral lists this ribosomal RNA (253 nucleotides) under uncultured archaeon. Its description in RNAcentral is "partial 16S ribosomal RNA". It matches the Rfam family "Archaeal small subunit ribosomal RNA", at positions 474 to 727 of the family's 1478-position model. The record is from RNAcentral.